This is a long non-coding RNA of Homo sapiens (human), 1521 nucleotides long. Lineage: Eukaryota; Metazoa; Chordata; Mammalia; Primates; Hominidae. The record is from Ensembl.
UGCGCAGGCUCGUUGGAGGUUUUCCGGGGACCCUUUCCAACCUGGCUGUCUCAAAGGGAACCAGAUUAUGCAAGGCUUUGUGUUCCAGCUUAGGCUAAACCAAGAACAACUUUAUCCUAAGGUCAAGAGGAAAUAUUUGAUAGGUUCUAAAGAAGGGAGGAGGAAACUGAGACCCAGGCAGAAGAAUUUGUUCUUCAAACUGCGAAAGCAGAGCUACCCCAAUUCAUCCACACACAUAGUAUUUCAGAGAAAAAAAGAAAACCCUAUGAUGGCAAGCAGUCAUAAGGAUGAAUGAGUGGCUUGAUCUCGGCUCAUUGCAACCUUCGCCUCCUGGGUUCAAGCAAUUCUACCUGCCUAGCCUCCCGAGUAGCUGGGAUUACAGGCACCCUGCAUCACAACGGCAUCACGCAUUCGAAUUUAGUAUUUUAGAGUGAUCUUAAUAGGUUUUCUACCAGGUGAACUACGUGGUCAUGGAAGCACUGUUGAUGGUGUGGCACUACUGCCUGUUCUUCAAAGGUUUUCAUAAGGAGGUCAAACCUAGCACUAAGACUAAAAGAGAGAAGCAACACAAUGUUGCCAAAAAGGGGAGUCAUGCUGGUUAUUAUGGUAUCCUGCUCUAGAAGUUUGAUCAGACGAACUAAGCUGACUGGCCCAGGUGCUGGCUCAGAGUCUGUCUCUGUCACCCAGGCUGGAGUGCAAUGGCGUCUUGGCUCACUGCAACCUCCACCUCCUACAUUUAAGCAAUUCUCGCGCCUCACCAUCCUGAGUAGCUGGGACUACAGGCACCUGCCACCAUCUUUUGAAAUUUUUAGUAGUGCUGAAGUUUUGCCAUGUUGGCCAGGCUGGUCUUGAACUCCUGGGUUCGAAUAAGUGCUGGGAUUACAGGCAUGGGCCAUGGCGCCCAGCCUUCUAUGUUAAUUUUGUAUCCUUUUUUUCUGGAUUUUUUCAUUUGUUUGUAUUACAUUUAUUAUUGAUUAUCUUGGGUUUUCCAGGCAUAUAAUUACAGGCACAUCUGCAAUUAGAAAUAACUUUACCCUUUUCUCCUUUUAAGACUUAUGCUUCUAAUACUAUUUUAAAAGACUGAAUCUACUUCAUAAUAUCUUUAAUACAUAGUUAAAUAGUAGUAAAAAUUGUGAGCAACAUUUCCUUAGAAAAGCCUACAGUUUUUUUCCAUUAGGUAAAAUUCUGGAUUUUAAUCUGAGUUAUGUACAUUUUUAUCAUGUUAAGGAAGAGCCAUUGAUUUAUAUUUUAUUUGUUUUAAUCAGAAAUAAGUGUUGGUUUUUUCAAAGACUUUUUCAAUAGCUUAAUAGACAAUUAUAUAAUUUUUCUCAGAGAUAUUACAUUACUGUGGUCAUGGAAGUUUUUAAAAAUAUGUAUUCUGUAUUUUAUUUCCAAAUUUUGUGCAUGUAACUAUGACAGAAAAUUACCCUUUAGUUUUUUUUUAAUUGUGCAAGCUUUAUUGAAUUUAAAUAGAAGUGUUUUACUGGCUUCCUAAUAAAAAUUUGAAUAUAUUCUUUCUAA